AUGAAUUUUUCACGUUGGCAAUGGUCUGGUCACCAACGUUCUGCUACCACCGAAGGUAUGGCUGCAGAAUCCCUCCCAUUGAGGAUGAUUUCGACCUACACGGAUUUUGGCCUUCCACAGUUCUUAAUCCUCAGCCAGAAUUUUGCCGAAUCUCAAAUUCUUAUGGGUUCUAUUUGGAGUCUGGUCGGGUUAAGAUUCACCCGGAUGUCUGAAAACAACUGA
Molecule: non-coding RNA, 222 nt
Organism: Vicia faba (fava bean)
Lineage: Eukaryota; Viridiplantae; Streptophyta; Magnoliopsida; Fabales; Fabaceae
Source: the annotation of a GenBank genome assembly